UUUCGUUAGGAAUUGAGGAGAUCUGGUUUGGCAGAUUUCUACAGAAGUACCAUGGAAAGCGUUAUAAGAGGUUGAAUCACCAUCUGCUAUCAUGGAGCCGCCGCAAAGGAUGGGAAAAUGUUGCAGAGGGUUUCAGACUCAGCGAACUCCAUCAUGGGCGUUGGCCUCCCCACUAUCUAGAUCAUCUUUAAAAGAUGAUGACCCAAUAAGGAGCCUAAAAUCAUUAAGGACCACCACCACCCAGAACAUGCCCUCUUCUUGUUGCCACCGUCAGUUAGAGUUAGGAGGUUUAAGGAACAGGUUCUUCCCCUCCGCCAUCAUAUGUCCUAAUGGAGAAUAAUCCAUGAACAAUAUCUUAACUGUCUUUUGUUCUUUUUUUUCCCACUCUGUGCUACAACCAUGGACUCUCUACUGCAGCGCAUUCAGGAACCGCCUUCGUGCUUUUGCACAUUCCCGCUAAUUACUGUUCCAUCACGGUGGUAUUUAACUCCUUUUUUCCCUUGUACUCCCGUCAAGACUUGAGCAAAGCACAGCAACAGUGCACUCCCUACUUCAGAGAUGGCCAGCCUGUGGCGCAUUGCACCCCACUGAUAGUAAUACAAAAGUAAGCUUUCUCAUGCAAAAAGUAUUAACCAAAAACCGAUUUGUAGGGAAAAAAUCUAUAACAGGAAUUCAAGUAGCUUAGAGCUAGAAAUGGGUUUUACUGAGAAUAAAUCUAAAACUUAGCAAUUAUUUUUUAGUGAUUUUAUUAUUUCGUGCACGUCUUUUAGUGAAUGUUAUCUUCUUUCACAUUAAUCUGUUGUCAAUUUUUAAAAAAUGUUCAAUGAGUCAAACUAGGAAAGAAGGACUUUGGUUCUGCAGUCGUUCCAUAACUGUUCAAUUCACGUUUGAUAAUUGUUUGAUCCCGAGACGCCAGGCGUCUGUACCAGCGGUACGUCGCAGAUUUUUACCAGUCAGUUUACAAUCGACACCCCUGCGCUACGGAGUUGUGCUUUGCUCGUCCUUUGUGAACAUUUGCAGUUUUGCACUUUUUCAAAAAUGAAGCCUUGUUUUUACAUUCAGCUACCCAUCACAAUGCAAAAGAAAAGCAGAAAGUGAUAGUAAGUGUGAAUUUAAUGAACGGUGGGAAAAUGGGUUCUUACUUAUAGCGGGCCCAUCAGGAAAACCGUUGUGCAUUGUUUGUGAAAACAUUUUCAGCCGUGAAAUUGAUUAAAAACAAAACAAGGUCGCGACUGACUAAAUCAAAUUUGAAGAAUUCUCUGCUGCUCUCAGUGUAAUUUAACCCCAAACAUUAAAAGCUUGGCAAAAUCAAAACCGACUCAGAAAUCUCAUUAAGGCAUUUACGGAAAAGAAAGAAAUACAAUGGGAUUUGUUGAAAAGCUGUAGAUAAACUGGCAAAGAACAAAUGUGCAAAAGAAGCCAAACUGAGCAAAUAAGAAUAACACAGAGAACACGAGUUGGAAACAGACCUUGACGGUGAUAGAUUCAGUUCAGAGUCGAGCCCUGGCAUCAUCCCUGUGAAUCCGUUUUGCACCUUUGCCUUGUUAAUGUUGUCCUUCGUAUGGAUGGUGACCAGAACUGUACACAAACUCUCAACAACAUUUGCUGAGAGCUCCACUCGGUCCCCUGACCGAUGAGGGUAAGUGAACCAAUCGCUUUCAUCACCCCAUCUACCCACGUCAGCGCUUUCAGGGAGCUCCGUACACCGAGGCCUCUCUGUGCUCCCCGGGACACUGCGCUCAACGUGCAAGUCCUGCCCUGGUUUAACCUCCCAUAAUGCAACACUUUGCACUUGGGUUAAGCUCCCACCCCCCCCCCGUGAGUCCCAGGCCCACUCCCCUCCCAGGGGGGACCACGUUCUGGACCCUGGAAACACAAAACUGGACGCUCAGAGCUCAACGGUUCGAGCAGCAUCUCUGGACGACGAAGGAAAAGUUUUGGUUUGAGACCCUACGUCGGCAGACUCAGCCCGACAGCUCCUACGUUCUGCCUCCUUGGACACUGCUGGACCCUCACUGGGUUCUGCUCUCUGCUUUGUGUGGUCACUGAACCACAGGUAAAGGCCAUUCGGCCCUAGCCACACCUGCGAGCAAGGUCAUGGCUUUUCUGCCGUCCAACAUCCCAUCGUCCCUUUAACAUCGGGAGCUUCCCACUGAAGUUCAUGACCUCUCAUUUCCCCACAUUUGACUCCAUCUACCUUGGUCUUGCCCGUUCCUUCAGCCUGUCCACAUCCCCUCAAAGUCUCUCCACAUCCUCCUCAAGCCCAGUUCAUUCACACAGAACAGAUUUAUUUAUAAUCGAUGCAGAAUUCAAAUGUAUCUGCAGUUCCAGGGGAAACAACCCAAAUGUGUCCAGUGACCAGGGUCCAAACCUGGAUGUGAUCAACAGCAGCAAUAACUGCAGAAUCAGUUCCUGCAGUCACUUGUGAACUCACCGCUGUCUCAGCAGCUGCCGUGUUUAAAUACCUUACAUAUUUA
This is a long non-coding RNA of Hypanus sabinus (Atlantic stingray), 2477 nucleotides long. RefSeq lists it as uncharacterized. The record is from RefSeq and is a predicted model, not a curated record. The transcript has 3 exons. Lineage: Eukaryota; Metazoa; Chordata; Chondrichthyes; Myliobatiformes; Dasyatidae.